RNAcentral lists this non-coding RNA (21 nucleotides) under Arabidopsis thaliana (thale cress). The record is from RNAcentral. Lineage: Eukaryota; Viridiplantae; Streptophyta; Magnoliopsida; Brassicales; Brassicaceae.
CGAUGAGCGAUCCUGCGGUGA